GCGCAGGCGGUUCCUUAAGUCCGAUGUGAAAGCCCACGGCUCAACCGUGGAGGGUCAUUGGAAACUGGGGAACUUGAGUGCAGGAGAGGGGAGCGGAAUUCCACGUGUAGCGGUGAAAUGCGUAGAGAUGUGGAGGAACACCAGUGGCGAAGGCGGCUCUCUGGCCUGUAACUGACGCUGAGGCGCGAAAGCGUGGGGAGCGAACAGGAUUAGAUACCCUGGUAGUCCACGCCGUAAACGAUGAGUGCCAGGUGUUGGAGGGGUCAAACCCUUCAGUGCUGUAGCUAACGCAAUAAGCACUCCGCCUGGGGAGUACGGCCGCAAGGCUGAAACUCAAAGGAAUUGACGGGGGCCCGCACAAGCGGUGGAGCAUGUGGUUUAAUUCGAAGCAACGCGAAGAACCUUACCAGGUCUUGACAUCCUCCGCUACUUCUGGAGACAGGAGGUUCCCCUUCGGGGGACGGAGUGACAGGUGGUGCAUGGUUGUCGUCAGCUCGUGUCGUGAGAUGUUGGGUUAAGUCCCGCAACGAGCGCAACCCUCGUCCUUAGUUGCCAGCAUUCAGUUGGGCACUCUAAGGAGACUGCCGGUGACAAACCGGAGGAAGGUGGGGAUGACGUCAAAUCAUCAUGCCCCUUAUGACCUGGGCUACACACGUGCUACAAUGGGCGGUACAAAGGGUUGCGAAACCGCGAGGUGGAGCUAAUCCCAAAAAGCCGCUCUCAGUUCGGAUUGCGGGCUGCAACUCGCCUGCAUGAAGCCGGAAUCGCUAGUAAUCGCGGAUCAGCAUCCGCGUGGAUACUUCCCGGUCUCUUUCAACCUUGGUGUUUCUUUUUUUGCU
Molecule: ribosomal RNA, 839 nt
Filed under: uncultured Gram-positive bacterium
Lineage: Bacteria
Description: bacterial SSU rRNA
Rfam family: Bacterial small subunit ribosomal RNA
Source: RNAcentral